AUUGAACGCUGGCGGCAUGCUUUACACAUGCAAGUCGAGCGGCAGCGCGGGGGCAACCCUGGCGGCGAGCGGCGAACGGGUGAGUAACGCAUCGGAACGUAUCCUGUAGUGGGGAAUAACUCAUCGAAAGGUGAGCUAAUACCGCAUAAGCUCUGAGGAGGAAAGCGGGGGACCGAAAGGCCUCGCGCUGCAGGAGCGGCCGAUGUCCGAUUAGCUAGUUGGUGAGGUAAAGGCUCACCAAGGCGACGAUCGGUAGCUGGUCUGAGAGGAUGAUCAGCCACACUGGGACUGAGACACGGCCCAGACUCCUACGGGAGGCAGCAGUGGGGAAUUUUGGACAAUGGGGGAAACCCUGAUCCAGCCAUGCCGCGUGAGUGAAGAAGGCC
Molecule: ribosomal RNA, 386 nt
Filed under: uncultured bacterium
Lineage: Bacteria
Description: bacterial SSU rRNA
Rfam family: Bacterial small subunit ribosomal RNA
Source: RNAcentral